This 1645-nucleotide long non-coding RNA is filed under the name Haliotis rubra (blacklip abalone). RNAcentral describes it as "uncharacterized LOC124253381". The stretch from base 1213 to 1290 matches the Rfam family "mir-9/mir-79 microRNA precursor family". Lineage: Eukaryota; Metazoa; Mollusca; Gastropoda; Lepetellida; Haliotidae. The record is from RNAcentral.
UUUCCCAUAUGCUUUUGAAAACUCCGUUUUAUUCAUUUGCAAAAGCUGAGGCUUCCCCGUAUUAGCGCUUGGCUAUGGGAUGUGUAGGGACGAGCGAACGGGUGCUACCCCGUGUGUAGGGUCGGGCCGCCUGGCCCAGGUCUGGGGGAUCUAUCAAGUGUGGAUAGGAAGGCGAUAGCUUUCAUUUGCGUUAAUUCAUGAAACACGUGCGUGCAAGAUCAACACCGCAACAUAUUAAGGCUCAGAUUCAAACCGGGUUUCCUUUUUCUCAUUGAAAAUAUGACUGCCGAGUCCAUACCGUGACAAUGAAAAGGACUAUUAGAGUCGAUGAAACUGUUGAUCGUGAGAUACUUGGACGAUCUCUGGCGGGAAUGUCAUUUCACUCUACCCAUCUUGAAGCAAGUUUGCCGCGCCCGUACUCUCGUCAAGCGUUGCUGACGGGAGAGAGUGAAGCGCUUGUCGAUAUGAAAGCUUGUUCACUCUUGCGUGGCUUGUGUUAAUAUUUAGGUCAUCGGUCUUAGAUGCGAAUCGUCCGACAUAUUGGCAGGCGAAGAGCUGAUUCGCUCCGUCAGUCCGCCGGCCUGAGAGCACCAGGCAGCAUGGGAGACCGCACUAGAACACAGACGGAACUCGCCGGGACUGGACGUGCCCUGUCCACUUCUGGUCACCGUUAGGUGGAUGCUGGGCGGACAGGAAAAUGAGAUGGGGCGAGAACGAGACCAGGAUGAUGGACGUCAGCAAUAUCGUCAAGGCAUGAGGUGCAAUUCGUCCGGACAUACCGACUGUCCUCCAGUUACCAAGGCAACUAACUCAACAAAUCUAAAUUUCUCAUAAACUGGUGGGGCUUUUUUCUGUGUUGAGACUGUUAGAAGUGAGCGGAGAGGUGAACAGCGGGCGAGAACAUUAAGUCCUGAGUCCAUUGUCUCCUCCCAACUGGACAACAUUGGUUGUGGGCCGGGAUAUCUCAACACACCACACAUAAUGCUGGACCUACUUGGAUUAUUGCUCGCGGUGUUUUUGUCCUCAUGUGAUUUCACCUGUGAUGCGAAAACACUCGCCAGAUAACACCCUGCAUUUGGUCAUAGUGGAGUUUACCGUGCUGCCCCCCGGAACAUGGCCCAACCCUCAGGGACCUGCCUCCCACUCACGGGCACCUGCUUUAUCACUUCGACGGAUGUCCAGUUCCUGGAAACUGUGGUCAAGACGAAGGCUCUGUUUAUGUCUUUGGUUAUCUAGCUGUAUGAUUGUUGUUGAAAUAUCAUAAAGCUAGGUUACCAAAGGCAAAAAUGGUAGCCAUAUUCAGCAACAGAUUACGGAGGAACAGGUGUGUUUAUUUAAAUCAUUUUUCAUUUCCAUAGAAUAUUUAAAAUAUGUAUAUAUUCGAGUGCUUUUCUAAAUAUUCUGAAUUAAUUCAAAACAAUUUAGGCAAAAAUAUUUUAUUUGGCUUUACUUAAUUGAUUCACAAUUAAUUUUAUCGAAAUUCAGAAAAUGUAAGUUUUUUGUCCGUGUUUUUAUACGAGAAGAUUUAAGAAAUGAUAACGAUAAAUUACAUUUUAAAUUAGUUUUUGUUUUACAUAAAUUUUACGUAUUUCUGUAUUAUCGUUUUGAUAACAAAUUAUAAUGAAUAAAUUUCUUAUUGACUAUA